CCUACGGGUGGCUGCAGUGGGGAAUAUUGCACCAUGGGGGGAACCCUGGUGCAGCAAUGCCGCGUGAGUGAAGAAGCACUCCGGUGCGUAAAGCUCUGUCAGCAGGGAAGAAAAUGCCAGUACCUGGACAAGAAGCCCCGGCUAACUACGUGCCAGCAGCCGCGGUAAUACGUAGGGGGCCAGCGUUAUCCGGAUUUACUGGGUGUAAAGGGAACGCAGUCGGCGUGGCAAGGCUGAUGUGAAAACCCGGGGCCCAACCCCCGGAGUGCAUUUGAAACUGCCAGGCUGGAGUGCCGGAGAGGUAAGCGGAAUUCCUAGUGGAGCGGUGAAAUGCGUAGAUAUUAGGAGGAACACCAGUGGCGGAGGCGGCUUACUGGACGGUAACUGACGCUGAGGCUCGAAAGCGUGGGGAGCAAACAGGAUUAGAUACCCUAGUAGUC
Molecule: ribosomal RNA, 440 nt
Filed under: uncultured bacterium
Lineage: Bacteria
Description: partial 16S ribosomal RNA
Rfam family: Bacterial small subunit ribosomal RNA
Source: RNAcentral